AUGCUUAGCCAUAAACUUAGACAUUUACUACACAAAAAUAUCCGCCAGAGAACUACGAGCAAACGCUUAAAACUCUAAAGACUUGGCGGUGCCUCAAACCCCCCUAGAGGAGCCUGUUCUAUAACCGAUAAUCCACGAUUCACCUUACCAUCUCUUGUCAAUACCGCCUAUAUACCGCCGUCACCAGCCUACCCUGUGAAGGGUAUAAAAGUAAGCAAAACAGCUAUUAUUAGCUAACAAGUCAGGUCAAGGUGUAGCUAAUUGAGAUGGAAGAGAUGGGCUACAUUUUCUAAACUAGAAAUUAUUAUUAACGGAAAGGACUAUGAAACAAGUCCUACAAGCAGGAUUUAGCAGUAAACAGGGAUCAGAAUGCCCAACUUAAGUAGGUCCUAAGGCACGCACACA
This 405-nucleotide ribosomal RNA is filed under the name Psammobates tentorius (tent tortoise). RNAcentral's name for it is "partial 12S ribosomal RNA". It matches the Rfam family "Bacterial small subunit ribosomal RNA", at positions 792 to 1389 of the family's 1533-position model. Lineage: Eukaryota; Metazoa; Chordata; Testudines; Testudinidae. The record is from RNAcentral.